CAAUAGCGUAUAUUAAAGUUGUUGCAGUUAAAAAGCUCGUAGUUGGAUUUCUGGUUGAAGCGACCGGUCGGGCGUUGAUUCGUCUGCACUGGAGUCGGUUUUGGCCAUCCUCUAGGAAAGUGCGUCUGGUAUUAAGUUAUCGGGCGUAUGAUCCUGGUCUUUUACUGUGAAAAAAUUAGAGUGUUUAAAGCAGGCCUUCGCCUUGAAUACAUUAGCAUGGAAUAAUAAGAUAGGACUUUGGUCUAUUUUGUUGGUUUGCAGACCGAAGUAAUGAUUAAUAGGGAUAGUUGGGGGUAUUCAUAUUCAAUUGUCAGAGGUGAAAUUCUUGGAUUUAUGGAAGAUGAACUACUGCGAAAGCAUUUACCAAGGAUGUUUUCAUUAA
RNAcentral lists this ribosomal RNA (382 nucleotides) under uncultured eukaryote. RNAcentral describes it as "partial 18S ribosomal RNA". It matches the Rfam family "Eukaryotic small subunit ribosomal RNA", at positions 592 to 976 of the family's 1831-position model. The record is from RNAcentral.